Molecule: long non-coding RNA, 631 nt
Organism: Dermacentor silvarum
Lineage: Eukaryota; Metazoa; Arthropoda; Arachnida; Ixodida; Ixodidae
Exons: 3
Source: RefSeq, a predicted model, not a curated record
UACACGGUAUGUAAGGAAUUAAAUUUUAGAGUUGGAGUGCACACAAUGGGCUGGAGUGACAUAUUUCAUGUUUCACAAUAUGCAGAUGGCAUCAGGAGAGGAGGCUUCGCAUCAGCAGUACCAAAGCACACCUGAUUCGGACAAAAAGGGAUGACAAAGGGCUUCAGAAAGCUGCUCAGCAACUCCUGAAAUCCAGCUCCUACAAGAGUGCUGCCAUGUGCUAUGGAAUUACAACUGAAGGCACAGCACGAGAGGACCUGGAGAGAAGGCUUGGAGCAAGAAUUGUGCAGACUGGACUGGUGGUUCUUCCUGAGCAACCUUGGCUGUGCUGCAGCCCCGACGGACUUGUACAGCUUGCUAAUGAGACUGUCCUGAUUGAAAUCAAGUGCACAUAUAAAUUCAAGGAUACACCAUUUAUCAGAUACGAAGAACGGCAUUGUGAGCUUCCAUAUUUGAUAUUCAUUGAUGACAAAAUUGAAUUAAGAAAGUCACACCAAUACUACACUCAGUUGCAGGUCCAAAUGUAUGUUCUUAAUUUGCAGAAAGCUUUGCUCUUUGUGUACAGUCAAGAUCAGUGUGUAAUAGUUGCUGUAAAGAGGGAUGAAGCGUUUUUGUGGGAGCUCAUCCCUAA